UUUCAUACACCGCUUAUCCUAUAUAAUAUUUACAUCCCAUUUACCAUUCAAGGUGAAGCACAAAUGGAAAGAAAAAUUAUAGUACAGGUUGACAGUGUUUCCUUUACUAUAUGCCUCGAAAUUUAGUGAAAUUUAAGUUAACUCGUACUAUUUGACUGUAUUGUACAGGAGCUAUGCCAUUUUGUCAUCACAGAAUCUGGAGAAUGUGGCAAUGGUCCACUCUUCAACAACCCAACAUCAUCUGCUGAAAUAUCCAUCUCUUCUGCCUUUGCUUUAUUGUAAUCCUCAUUUUGUAUACCCUUUAGGGCCUCCAACACU
RNAcentral lists this long non-coding RNA (318 nucleotides) under Gossypium barbadense (sea-island cotton). Its description in RNAcentral is "long non-coding RNA (GBAR_LNC019176)". Lineage: Eukaryota; Viridiplantae; Streptophyta; Magnoliopsida; Malvales; Malvaceae. The record is from RNAcentral.